This 448-nucleotide ribosomal RNA is filed under the name uncultured archaeon. Its description in RNAcentral is "bacterial SSU rRNA". It matches the Rfam family "Archaeal small subunit ribosomal RNA", at positions 474 to 922 of the family's 1478-position model. The record is from RNAcentral.
UACCCGCGGCCCGAGUGGUGGUCGAUAUUAUUGAGCCUAAAACGUUCGUAGCCGGUCUUGUAAAUCCUUGGGUAAAUCGGCCAGCUUAACUGUCCGAAGUCCGGGGAGACUGCAAGACUUGGGAUCGGGAGAGGUCAGAGGUACUUCUGGGGUAGGGGUAAAAUCCUGUAAUCCUAGAAGGACCACCGGUGGCGAAGGCGUCUGACUAGAACGAAUUCGACGGUGAGGAACGAAGCCCUGGGGCGCAAACGGGAUUAGAUACCCCGGUAGUCCAGGGUGUAAACGCUGCGGGCUUGGUGUUGGGGGUCCUUAGUGGGCGCCCAGUGCCGGAGAGAAGUUGUUAAGCCUGCUGCUUGGGGAGUACGUCCGCAAGGAUGAAACUUAAAGGAAUUGGCGGGGGAGCACCGCAACGGGAGGAGCGUGCGGUUCAAUUGGACUCAACGCCGGA